Nicotiana sylvestris (wood tobacco) is the source of this 196-nucleotide non-coding RNA. NCBI's taxonomy places the organism in Eukaryota, Viridiplantae, Streptophyta, Magnoliopsida, Solanales, Solanaceae. The record is from Rfam.
AUACCUUUCUCGGCCUUUUGGCUAAGAUCAAGUGUAGUAUCUGUUCUUAUCAGUUUAAUAUCUGAUAUGUGGGCCAUCGGCUCACACGAUAUUAACUCAAUUUUUUAAGGGGGAAGGCCCAUCAGGAUAGCUUGCUAUCCGGGUCUUCACGCGUCGCUUUGGCUUUGCACUACAGCCAUAGCCUGGCGCACCCCAC